Molecule: ribosomal RNA, 3414 nt
Rfam family: Bacterial large subunit ribosomal RNA
Source: Rfam
AAUCAAGCGCGAGAAGGGCGUUUGGUGGAUGCCUUGGCAGUAAGAGGCGAUGAAGGACGUGAUACUCUGCGAUAAGCUUGGGGGAGCCGAGAAUAGGCUUUGAUCCCAGGAUCUCCGAAUGGGGCAACCCACCUGAAUGUUUGUUGUUAUUGCCUUCGGGCAGCUAACAGCAGGCAUGAACAGGUACUCAUUACCUGAAUACAUAGGGUUUUGAGAGCAAACCCGGGGAACUGAAACAUCUAAGUACCCGGAGGAAAGGACAUCAAUAGAGACUCCGUCAGUAGCGGCGAGCGAACGCGGACCAGCCGAACCCUGAGCGUGACCGGAAAUACCUGGAAAGGUAUGCCAGAGCGGGUGACAGCCCCGUACGGGAAGCGUGAUGGGACGUAUCAAGUAGGGCGGGACACGUGAAAUCCUGUCUGAAGAUCGGGGGACCACCCCCGAAGGCUAAGUACUCCUUACUGACCGAUAGCGAACCAGUACCGUGAGGGAAAGGUGAAAAGCACCCCGACGAGGGGAGUGAAACAGUACCUGAAACCGAGCGCCUACAAUCAGUCGGAGCUUGACUGGACUCUUAUGACGAUCCGGGGCCAUGACUUCUGCACCAGGCAGGAGACACUAUCAUGGCAGACGGAACAUUCGCAGCAUUGCUGCUCGUCGCGGGCCUCACCGACAUGGGGCUCAAUCAUUGCGGCAUGGCCGACGGGUGCCUCGGGCGCUCGGAAGACCAACCCAGACUGGCCGUCUCGGCCGGGUCUGUGCUGCCACGACGGGCGGACGAAGCCGCGGAGCUUUACCUUCGCUACGAUCCACGGACCCGCUUCGGUCCCUUCGGCACGGCCCUCGGCCUGUCGCUGGGCGAAGAGGGCGAGACGUGGCUCGGAGCCGGGGUGACCUGGGACUGGCGCUUCGGCGGCUCACCGUUCUACGGCGAGCUGCACGCGAUGCCCGGUCUCUACCUCGACAACGGGGGCUUCGAUCUCGGCGGACCGAUCGCGUUCCGCUCGGGGGUGGAGCUCGGGUACGAGGCGAUCAACGGCUGGCGUUACGCGGUCAGCUACGAUCACCGCUCCAAUGCGGGGAUAUACGACGACAAUCCGGGCAUCGAGACGGUGCAGUUCCGGGUGUCGAUCCCGCUGCGAUGAGGAUCAUCAUAAGUGUCCAGUCUUGUGACGGCGUACCUUUUGUAUAAUGGGUCAUCGACUUGGUCUAUCUAGCAAGCUUAAGCCGGUAGGUGUAGGCGCAGCGAAAGCGAGUCUUAAUAGGGCGUCGAGUUAGAUGGAUCAGACCCGAAACCGAGUGAUCUAGGCAUGACCAGGAUGAAGGUUAGGUAACACUAACUGGAGGUCCGAACCCACACCUGUUGAAAAAGGUCGGGAUGAGUUGUGCCUAGGGGUGAAAGGCCAAUCAAACUCGGAGAUAGCUGGUUCUCCGCGAAAUCUAUUUAGGUAGAGCGUCAUCCGAAUACCCCGGGGGGUAGAGCACUGGAUGGGUAAUGGGGCCCCACAGGCUUACUGAUCCUAACCAAACUCCGAAUACCCGGGAGUACUAGAUGGCAGACACACUGCGGAUGCUAACGUCCGUAGUGGAGAGGGAAACAACCCUGACCUCCAGCUAAGGCCCCCAAUUCAUGGCUAAGUGGGAAAGCAGGUGAGACGGCCAAAACAACCAGGAGGUUGGCUUAGAAGCAGCCAUCCUUUAAAGAUAGCGUAACAGCUCACUGGUCUAAUUAAGCUGUCUUGCGGCGAAGAUGUAACGGGGCUCAAGCCAUGAGCCGAAGCUGAGGACGCGAGAGCGUGGUAGCGGAGCGUAGUGUGACAUAAUCUCAUGCCUCCUUCGAUCCUUCGGGAUCAUUGGAGGCGCGAGGUUUACUGUGAAGCCGGCGCGUGAGCGAUCCGGUGGAGUGAUCACUAGCGAGAAUGAUGACAUGAGUAGCGACAAGGAGUGUGAGAGACACUCCCGCCGAAAGUCCAAGGGUUCCUGCUUAAAGCUAAUCUGAGCAGGGUAAGCCGGCCCCUAAGGCGAGGCCGAAAGGCGUAGUCGAUGGGAACCAGGUUAAUAUUCCUGGGCCAGGAGAUGGUGACGGAUUGUUCGAACCGUGCGUCCCUUAUCGGAUUGGGGCGUAUACGCGACAGUCCCUGGAAACAGCCCUCCAUCGGACCGUACCCUAAACCGACACAGGUGGACAGGUAGAGUAUACCAAGGCGCUUGAGAGAACGACGUUGAAGGAACUCGGCAAAAUACCUCCGUAAGUUCGCGAGAAGGAGGCCCGGGCUAUGAUGUCCGGGGGCACAAACCAGGGGGUGGCGACUGUUUACUAAAAACACAGGGCUCUGCGAAGCCGUAAGGCGACGUAUAGGGUCUGACGCCUGCCCGGUGCCUGAAGGUUAAAAGGAGGGGUGCAAGCUCCGAAUUGAAGCCCAGGUAAACGGCGGCCGUAACUAUAACGGUCCUAAGGUAGCGAAAUUCCUUGUCGGGUAAGUUCCGACCUGCACGAAUGGCGUAACGACUUCCCCGCUGUCUCCAACGUCGACUCAGCGAAAUUGAAUUGCCGGUCAAGAUGCCGGCUCCCCGCGGUUAGACGGAAAGACCCCGUGCACCUUUACUACAGCUUCAGACUGGCACCAGGCCAGGCAUGUGCAGGAUAGGUGGUAGGCUUCGAAGCAGGGACGCCAGUCUCUGUGGAGCCACCCUUGAGAUACCACCCUUGCCUCGCUUGGUGUCUAACCGCGGCCCGUUAUCCGGGUCCGGGACCCUCUGUGGCGGGUAGUUUGACUGGGGCGGUCGCCUCCUAAAUCGUAACGGAGGCGCGCGAAGGUUGGCUCAGAGCGGUCGGAAAUCGCUCGUUGAGUGCAAUGGCAGAAGCCAGCCUGACUGCGAGACUGACAAGUCGAGCAGAGUCGAAAGACGGCCAUAGUGAUCCGGUGGUCCCAAGUGGGAGGGCCAUCGCUCAACGGAUAAAAGGUACGCCGGGGAUAACAGGCUGAUACUGCCCAAGAGUCCAUAUCGACGGCAGUGUUUGGCACCUCGAUGUCGGCUCAUCUCAUCCUGGGGCUGGAGCAGGUCCCAAGGGUACGGCUGUUCGCCGUUUAAAGAGGUACGUGAGCUGGGUUUAGAACGUCGUGAGACAGUUCGGUCCCUAUCUGCCGUGGGUGUAGGAGACUUGAGAGGAGUUGACCCUAGUACGAGAGGACCGGGUUGAACGAUCCACUGGUGGACCUGUUGUUGCGCCAGCAGCAGUGCAGGGUAGCUAUGAUCGGACAGGAUAACCGCUGAAGGCAUCUAAGCGGGAAGCCCCCCUCAAAACAAGGUCUCCCUGAGGGCCGUGGUAGACGACCACGUCGAUAGGCUGGAGGUGUAAGCGUGGCAACACGCUCAGCUGACCAGUACUAAUGGCCCGACAGGCUUGGUUCG